UACGGGGGGGGCAAGCGUUGUUCGGAAUUACUGGGCGUAAAGGGCCAGUAGGCGGCCAACUAAGUCGGAUGUGAAAUCCCCAGGCUUAACCUGGGAACUGCAUCCGAUACUGGAUGGCUUGAAUUCGGGAGAGGGAUGCAGAAUUCCAGGUGUAGCGGUGAAAUGCGUAGAGAUCGGGAGGAACACCAGCGGCGAAGGCGGCAUCCUGGACUGGUCCUGACACUCAGGAGCGAAAGCGUGGGGAGCGAUCCGG
Molecule: ribosomal RNA, 253 nt
Filed under: uncultured bacterium
Lineage: Bacteria
Description: partial 16S ribosomal RNA
Rfam family: Bacterial small subunit ribosomal RNA
Source: RNAcentral